GACGAACGCUGGCGGCGUGCCUAACACAUGCAGGUCGAACGGAACUUCUUUAAAGGAUUUCUUCGGAAUGAAUUUGAUUAAGUUUAGUGGCGGACGGGUGAGUAACGCGUGAGUAACCUGCCUCUAAGAGGGGAAUAACAUUCUGAAAAGAAUGCUAAUACCGCAUAACAUAUAUUUAUCGCAUGGUAGAUAUAUCAAAGAUUUAUCGCUUAGAGAUGGACUCGCGUCCGAUUAGUUAGUUGGUGAGGUAACGGCUCACCAAGACCGCGAUCGGUAGCCGGACUGAGAGGUUGAACGGCCACAUUGGGACUGAGACACGGCCCAGACUCCUACGGGAGGCAGCAGUGGGGGAUAUUGCGCAAUGGGGGAAACCCUGACGCAGCAACGCCGCGUGAAGGAUGAAGGUCUUCGGAUUGUAAACUUCUUUUAUUAAGGACGAAGAAAGUGACGGUACU
RNAcentral lists this ribosomal RNA (455 nucleotides) under uncultured bacterium. RNAcentral describes it as "bacterial SSU rRNA". It matches the Rfam family "Bacterial small subunit ribosomal RNA", at positions 28 to 479 of the family's 1533-position model. The record is from RNAcentral.